AUCCAGUAAUUGGUUUUCAGAGUUUUAUUUUCGUUUGGGUGUUUUCUGAAUAUAAAGGCAGGGGCACUGUUUCAGCACAUGUCAAGGCCUUUAACACAGUCGUGUAGUGAACAUAUGACACUCUAAAAUGUUAUUACUAUUGGCUGAGAUUCCCUUUAAUUCCUCUCACCUUUGUACACAUGUCGGAAGAUUUGUAGACUAUCUAUGUAACAGCUUGUGACUAUGGUCAGAGCUACAGGUUAGGCUAUCCUCCAAACCUGGUGAUAAUCUCUUAAAACCAACUAAGUGGUACUAACAUCGUAAUUAGAGCUCUCAGGGUUAUUAUGAUGAGUGAGAAGGGCAUGAGUGUGUUGGAGUGGAUUGCUCACUUAAUCCAUGCUCAUAAUGCUGAGCCAUAAACGUGGUGGAGUGGUUUGCCCUUGCAGUUCCACUCUUAUAAUGCUAAGGGAAGUACCCUAGGCAUCUCUUAGCAGCCUUUAAUGGCAUCAACCUUGGGUUGCUGGCUGGGGCUUCAGUGCCUUGUAGCUGACCUGUUGCAUUCAGGAAUCUUCAGCAACGCACAAAGUUUCCAAAUUCAUUCUCUUUUCACUCACCGGAUUAUCUAGCCACAGUAGCCUACUGUAUAGCCAACCUGGGGCUGAAUUUGGGGAGACUUGCGGCUCAGUUAGCAUUCCAGUUUACCCAACAAUGUUCAGUGGGGUUGAAGUCAGGGCUCUGUGAAGGCCACUUGAGUUCUCCCACUCCAACCUUGCUGGAACAUGUUUGGGCCUCUUGGUCUUGUGCUCCAGUGAAGGAAAAUUAUCAUGCUACGGCAUACAAAAACAUCCCAUACAAUUGGGUGCUUCCAAAUUUAUGGCAACAGUUUGGGGAAGGCCCACAUAGGACCCUUUGGUGAUGAGGUUGAUUGAACCUCCUCUUCUGCACUUGGCACUUUGGAUCAUGACGCAGUACAGUUCUCGUUCAGUUUAAUUUUGGACCAACACCAGUUAUGGUUGGCUUAGUUGACACUGCUAAGGGCAUGCAAAACAACCCUGUGCAAAUUGCUCUAUGUACCAGGGUCAGUGUUUGGGCCUGUGGCCAAAGAAGCCCAAGAGAAGAGAAUCCAAUUCUCAGACUCUAAAGACUUAACAAAACAAAAUAGAAUGGACGUACCCUCAUCACUCGAGAACACAGCUCCUUUCACGGACAGACAUUUCAAACCAGAGUCUUACUCUGCCUUCACUAGAGCAGAGGGCAUAAACAAAAGUGUAUGGCCAUACUCCUGAUUGGAGGAGACCAUAUGAUCCAGCACAGGAAGGCUUAAUUCAAGGGCAUCAAUCCCCAGCGCGUGGCAGACAUUACCGUGCCUUACCAGUUAGGAAGUCUGCUAUGGCUGGCUCCAGGUGCCGCUAAGGGCAUAUGCAGGUUUUUAUAAAAUAUUGAUAUUUAUUCAUUAAUAAUUGUUAAUAAUAACAGUUGUGGUACCCAUCUUAUUCAUAAAGUUGCAUCCUUGCAUCCUUUCUAACAGUAAAAUAGCUACCAUUCUUUUUAGGCUUUAGAGUUUACACAUAAUUGCUGUUCCAUCAUGUUAUAAAUUCACACUGGUACCAUGUGCAUACAUGUUAAUGUUCUGACUACACUAAAAUAAUCUCAAAAACCUGGAUGUAAUACAAAAAUCCAACAUACCUUGUACUGAAAGAUUAUUAGUAUGCAUGAAUUAUAUUUGAUAUGUGUCCUGGAAGUACCUGUCAUGAAAUGUUUAAAUCCACCCCACCAAACUUUCCAGCCAAAAUUCAACAGAUCUAGAGAGACACGACACUGUUAAAAUGAUCAAGGGCUUUAAUAGCAAUACACAGGCUUGCAACUUAUACAUAUGAAGCAAUAUUGUUAUGUUAGUUUAGGGGAAAUAUGGGUUGACUAUAAUAUUUAUAAAAUGUGAACACUACUGCAUACACAUGUCAUUGUCAUGUUUCUUUUUUGUUAAUGUUAUUAAAACUUUAUUCAGUUAAGUUGUUUUCUGCUGUAUUUAAUGCAACAUCAGAUUGAAUGGUAUUUGGCUCUUGUGGACCAGCAGUUGCAGUCAAACAAUGAAAAUAAAAACCCUUAUCAAAUGACUUUU
Molecule: long non-coding RNA, 2098 nt
Organism: Ictalurus punctatus (channel catfish)
Lineage: Eukaryota; Metazoa; Chordata; Actinopteri; Siluriformes; Ictaluridae
Source: Ensembl